CUUUGGGGUAUUGCAAUGUAGGGGUUUCUGUUACAGGCAGCACAUCAUUCACCGCACCGUGAAGAGCUGGAGCUUGCUGACAUCCAGGGAUUGCACUCCUCGAAAGAUUUCUCUAGAAUACCUGGAACCAGCUGAACGCUAGCAUGUGGGUGUAAGGUCCGACUCGACGCACCUUCCCCCAAUGACCAGCCGAGACCGUACGGAUGCAAGAUGCAGAGGUUUUAUUGCGUGGGCCACGGGCGUCUCUAAUGUCCGAACACAAGAGAAGCGCCCCGCCAAGGAUGAUCUUGCUUAUAUAUAGUUUGAAGAGCGGGAAAGCGGGCUUUACAGAAGCAGAUUUGCGGAUUGGUUAAUUCAUAUGAGGCUAUUUGCGGAUUGGUUAAUUCAUAUGAGGCUAUUUGCGGAUUGGUUAAUUCAUACGGGGCCAUGAAUACAGGGGAGGGGUUUAACAGGGGAAUUUUGGCGCCGAAAAGUCCCUGAUCCGUUAAGAGGUUUCGAAAGCCCGGGACUUUUUGGCGGGCAAUUCAGAGCAGUGAGUGCUAUUCCGGGAACAAUGAGGCCCGGGACUUUCAUGGGUAGAGCUGGUCUGAGAGCACCAGGCCGAGCAGGAAGAGAAGGGCAGGAAACUGCUGGGGCGCACUCUCGUGGUCCUGUCCCUGCAGCUGCAGCACAUUCCCAGCCCUGCCUCUUACUCCUUGGGGCAACCUCCAUCCUAGGACCUGGGGAGUCAGCGCCAACGAGGGCGUCGCAGCCACCCGUACCCUUGUGGUUUGUGCGGCAUCCCUGGACCGCCCUUGCCCAUUGGAAAGCUACAGGGGCUUUGGGCGCCUCACCGACGGCCUCUGGCAGCCAUUACUCGAUUACCAUGGCUACAAGAGUCAUGCCCCACAAUGAACAACCAUAUUCCAUGUUGGUGAAAAGCAGUGGGAGUGCUGCAAACACGAAAGCUCUCCUCGGUGGCUGGGAAGGUCCUCCAGGGGCAGCUUGGCCCAACUGA
RNAcentral lists this long non-coding RNA (997 nucleotides) under Fukomys damarensis (Damara mole-rat). RNAcentral's name for it is "lncRNA (ENSFDAG00000024116.1)". Lineage: Eukaryota; Metazoa; Chordata; Mammalia; Rodentia; Bathyergidae. The record is from RNAcentral.